GAUGAAGAACGCAGCGAAAUGCGAUACGUAAUGUGAAUUGCAGAAUUCAGUGAAUCAUCGAAUCUUUGAACGCACAUUGCGCCCUUUGGUAUUCCGAAGGGCAUGCCUGUUCGAGCGUCAUUAUCACCCCUCAAGCCCUCGGCUUGGUGUUGGACGGUUUGGUGGAGGCCCCCUCGGGGGCUCCUGCCCCUCCCAAAGACAAUGACGGCGGCCUCGUUGGACCCCCGGUACACUGAGUUCUUCACGGGACACGUAUCGGACACAUGGGUUUACGGGACACGGUCUGCCUCCCCUCAGGGAGAAUCUUUCUAAGGUUGACCUCGGAUCAGGUAGGGAUACCCGCUGAACUUAAGCAUAUCAAUAAGCGGAGGA
RNAcentral lists this unclassified non-coding RNA (372 nucleotides) under soil metagenome. RNAcentral describes it as "partial contains 5.8S ribosomal RNA, internal transcribed spacer 2, and large subunit ribosomal RNA". The stretch from base 1 to 120 matches the Rfam family "5.8S ribosomal RNA", at positions 35 to 154 of the family's 154-position model. The record is from RNAcentral.